This 496-nucleotide ribosomal RNA is filed under the name uncultured bacterium. Its description in RNAcentral is "partial 16S ribosomal RNA". It matches the Rfam family "Bacterial small subunit ribosomal RNA", at positions 28 to 507 of the family's 1533-position model. The record is from RNAcentral.
GAUGAACGCUGGCGGCGUGCCUAAUACAUGCAAGUCGAGCGAACGGACGAGAAGCUUGCUUUUCUGAUGUUAGCGGCGGACGGGUGAGUAACACGUGGAUAACCUACCUAUAAGACUGGGAUAACUUCGGGAAACCGGAGCUAAUACCGGAUAAUAUUUUGAACCGCAUGGUUCAAAAGUGAAAGACGGUCUUGCUGUCACUUAUAGAUGGAUCCGCGCUGCAUUAGCUAGUUGGUAAGGUAACGGCUUACCAAGGCAACGAUGCAUAGCCGACCUGAGAGGGUGAUCGGCCACACUGGAACUGAGACACGGUCCAGACUCCUACGGGAGGCAGCAGUAGGGAAUCUUCCGCAAUGGGCGAAAGCCUGACGGAGCAACGCCGCGUGAGUGAUGAAGGUCUGCGGAUCGUAAAACUCUGUUAUUAGGAAGAACAUAUGUGUAAGUAACUGUGCACAUCUUGACGGUACCUAAUCAGAAAGCCACGGCUAACUACGUG